This 346-nucleotide ribosomal RNA is filed under the name uncultured gamma proteobacterium DCM-FREE-5. RNAcentral's name for it is "partial 16S ribosomal RNA". The record is from RNAcentral. Lineage: Bacteria; Pseudomonadati; Pseudomonadota; Gammaproteobacteria.
GGUUACCUUGUUACGACUUCACCCCAGUCAUGAAACACAAAGUGGUAAUCGUCCUCCCGAAGGUUAGACUAACUACUUCUUUUGCAUCUCACUCCCAUGGUGUGACGGGCGGUGUGUACAAGGCCCGGGAACGUAUUCUCCGCAGUAUUCUGACCUGCGAUUACUAUCGUAUUCCGACUUCAUGGAGUCUAGUUGCAGACUCCAAUCCGGACUACGACAUUCUUUAAGGGGUCCGCUCCACAUCACUGUGUCGCUUCCCUCUGUAAAUGCCAUUGUAGCACGUGUGUAUCCCUACACGUAAGGGCCAUGAUGACUUGACGUCUUCCCCACCUUCCUCCGGUUCGUC